RNAcentral lists this long non-coding RNA (670 nucleotides) under Olea europaea subsp. europaea. The record is from RNAcentral. Lineage: Eukaryota; Viridiplantae; Streptophyta; Magnoliopsida; Lamiales; Oleaceae.
GUCAGUUUUGAGAGAAACGGUGAUACCUUUAGCACCUCCAAGUUUAAAGAGCUCGACAAGAUUUUUCUCUUUGACAACCUUAGAGAGGAUUGUCCGAUUAACAUUGGCGAAAUAGCUGGUGUCUUCGCGUGGUUGAUCAAUACUGAUGAGAAAACUUGCAGAUGCAGGCAAGAUAGAAUUAGAAAUCUCGUUGUGUUUUGCAAGAAUUUCAUUGAAGAGAGAAAGCAAGGCCCUUGAACAAUUGAUUUUUACGAAUGCCAAAUGCCAUCUCUUUCUAUUCAGCAAGCUGAUAAAAAGGUGGUUUGGAAGAUUGUGAACACGAUCCGAGCAAUGCAUGAUAUCUUGAAAAUUUUCAGUCAUGAUAAUGGUAAAACUCCAGAACGCAGUAAAAUGGACAACAAAAAAAAAUUGCAAAUCGAAAGACAGAAAAAUUUCUAACAAUCUGAAAUGGGAUCCAUCGAUUCCUCGACCGCUACAAGUGUAUAAACUUAACUUACGGUAAUAUGAAUGAAAUUGCAGUGUUUGCGUUGGAGUUUGGCAAUGAACAAUCUUGUCUAUAAAUACUCCUGUUGCCGCGUACUAAGUGUGUUUCCAGGCUGUUACAGUGGAAUUUGUGUUGGAAACUUACGAAGAACAGAUCUUAAUGAGUUUGUUCAACUGUAAAUAUUAG